Long non-coding RNA from Oreochromis aureus, 2118 nucleotides. Lineage: Eukaryota; Metazoa; Chordata; Actinopteri; Cichliformes; Cichlidae. The record is from Ensembl.
GCUGCCUUAAAGCCUGUGCUCUCUCUGCUCUUGUGUUGUCGGGCUGUGAGCUGAAAAGCUACAGCCGGCUGUAUGCGUACAGCAACCGCGUGUGAAAAGCAUGUCCAUGCAAACAUCGUCGGGUCUGCAGUGAUAUGUUUACAAUGAGACUUCUGGUCCCAAACCUCUGCGCACAGCGUCUGCAAAUCGGGGCUUUCAUCUUUACGCAGGACCGUAAGCUGUCAUCUGUGAGGCGGGAGCGGUGUUUGUUUUUUAACAUAGUUCAUGGUGGAGAACAGCUGCCGACAUAAUGUGGAUCCGAAGAUCCAUAAUCGGCCUAUCUGGGGUUGAAAGUCUCCAUACAUGCACGGCGUUUCGAUUCCAUUAGAUGAACCAAGUGAACCGAGGUGCAGUAAUCUCAGCGUGCCUCUGUUCGGAUUUGAAAACAUUGAACACUGCCUCAGAAAACAUUUAGCCUAUUUAUCGCGCAAACAGUGGACGGCAUUAGCCACUGAUGACAUCACCUCGGAUGUCGUCAAUCUGCUGACUAAAAUGUGCCGAGUACUCAUAGAGGACAUUAGCAGCUUAGUGUUUAAAGUCGUACGCCCACAGGUUUUAUGCUGCCCACAUAAUCAUGAUCGUGGAGACAACGAAAGCUCCGAUGACCGGAUGAAUGUUGAACCUCUGGUUGAUGGGUGCAGUUACUGCAGGGUGACAGAGGAUGAUAUUCAGGCCAGCCUCAGAAACAUCUUUGAUAACUGUUUUGGUUGGGUCUUGGGUUUUGGGCAACGGCGGUCUCGUGACUCAGACAAACUACUGACUUUAUUUUCAGUGUCGAUUGCAAAGAAUGUAAACUCAGCCCUGAGUCGUAUCACAGGGUCCACAUCCUUGCAAUCAGAUAGGUCCAGAUCCCCAACAAACCUUGUUGGGAUGGUUUACAGUGUAGUCAACAUUUUAGAAGACUAUGCAAAGACCUUAGCUCCCCUUUCUGUAGAUGGUGAGAGUAGCAGCGACAGCAUUGUUGAAAUGCCAGAGUCUGAGGAAGAUAACGACUUUAAACCAGAGUCUGUAGAGACUUUUAAAAGCACACAGACUCAAGCUUGUGUAGGCAAGGAACGUUUGGUUAACAAGGGCCACAGUGAUACAUUUCAAAUCAUUGAUGUCCAAAAUCUUGACAGUGAGAGCUCAGAGAGUGAUGAAAAAUGUAGUGAUGCCCUGCAGUGUUCGUCUGGGACACUUCCUCGCCUACAGAGAUCGAUACCUUUCUCAAUUUGUGUCUUGCAAAUUUAGUCAUUCACGUUUCUGAGAAAACACAAACAUUUGCUGUAAAGUUAAAUUGUCAGCAGAUAGUGACUGAUAUAAGAGAGAAGAUUGAGGGAGACUUGACUCCUCUAAAAACUGUAAAAAACUUGUACAUCAUAAUGUACAAAGACCUGUGUCGCAAAUUUGGAUCCAAAUACGUGCUUCCGUUUGUAAUGGAAAAGGCUGAUGCGACUUUUGUAGCAGCCGUUGUGGAGCUAUUAAAAGCAGAGCUCAAAAAAUUGGCCAGCCCCAGUAACGUGCUGAGAAGUUUAGAAAGUAACAAAAGCGUUUCUCCAGCCGGUAAGAACAAAACGCAACAAUCUGCUACUGAGCAAAAUGGAUCCACAGAUUCCCAGAAAAACAGGCCGAGAAACCGUAUCGUUAGGGCCCUCACUUCUUUUUUUAGAUGUUUGAGGACGCUAUUCAGUUGCUGCAUGAGCAGUGAGUCAGAAACAGAGUAAUUAUCUUCAUAAUUACUCAAUGCAUGCUCAGUGAUCCAGGUAAGUCAAUCCCAAGAGGUGGAAUCUGUUCAUGUGGAUGUAGCGUUCUCAGCAGGAGGCGUUUUCUCCCGCUGUGAACGCUAUGUCCACAUGAACAGAAUCCACCUUUUGGGGUACCUUCAUAAUGUUACAACAGUUACAAUCCUCUUUUCAAAAAAUAUGCAGCAGUUUCAGCUGUUUGUAAGUCAUUUAACACAGGUUGCGGCAGAAGACCUCCCCUCAUCGAGCCUGGUUCUGCCGGAGGUUUCUUCCUAUUAAAAGGGAGUUUUUCCUUCCCACUGUCGCCUUGUGCUUGCUCAGAGGGGGUGGUCUGAUUGUCAGGGUUUUCUCCCCAAAC